This is a non-coding RNA of Tetraodon nigroviridis (spotted green pufferfish), 46 nucleotides long. The record is from Rfam. NCBI's taxonomy places the organism in Eukaryota, Metazoa, Chordata, Actinopteri, Tetraodontiformes, Tetraodontidae.
ACAAAGGCUCUUUUAAGAGCCAAAUCCACUUCCUCCAAAGAGCUUG